RNAcentral lists this ribosomal RNA (253 nucleotides) under uncultured bacterium. RNAcentral describes it as "partial 16S ribosomal RNA". It matches the Rfam family "Bacterial small subunit ribosomal RNA", at positions 524 to 776 of the family's 1533-position model. The record is from RNAcentral.
UACGGGGGGGGCAAGCGUUGUUCGGAAUUACUGGGCGUAAAGGGCUCGUAGGUGGCCAACUAAGUCAGACGUGAAAUCCCCAGGCUCAACUUGGGAACUGCGUCUGAUACUGGAUGGCUUGAAUUCGGGAGAGGGAUGCAGAAUUCCAGGUGUAGCGGUGAAAUGCGUAGAUAUCUGGAGGAACACCGGUGGCGAAGGCGGCCCUCUGGACGAUGACUGACGCUGAGACGCGAAAGCGUGGGGAGCAAACAGG